This 460-nucleotide ribosomal RNA is filed under the name uncultured bacterium. Its description in RNAcentral is "partial 16S ribosomal RNA". It matches the Rfam family "Bacterial small subunit ribosomal RNA", at positions 338 to 795 of the family's 1533-position model. The record is from RNAcentral.
CCUACGGGAGGCAGCAGUGGGGAAUAUUGGUCAAUGGACGAAAGUCUGAACCAGCCACGUAGCGUGAAGGAUGACUGCCCUAUGGUUUUUAAACUUCUUUUAUAUGGGAGUAAAAUGUUCCACGUGUGGAGUUUUGUAUGUACCAUAUGAAUAAGGAUCGGCUAACUCCGUGCCCGCAGCCGCGGUAAUUCGGAGGAUCCGCGCGUUAUCCGGGUUUAUUGGGUUUAAAGGGAGCGUAGGUGGAUUGUUAAGUGAGUUGUGAAAGGUUGCGGCUCAACCGUAAGAUUGCAGUUGAAACUGGUAGUCUUGAGUACAGGAGAGGUGGGCGGAAUUCGUGGUGUAGCGGUGAAAUGCUUAGAUAUAACGAAGAACACCGAUUGCGAAGGCAGCUCACUGGACUGCAACUGACACUGAGGCUCGAAAGUGUGGGGAUCAAACAGGAUUAGAUACCCCGGUAGUC